Small nuclear RNA from Arvicanthis niloticus (Nile rat), 165 nucleotides. RefSeq annotates it as U1 spliceosomal RNA. Lineage: Eukaryota; Metazoa; Chordata; Mammalia; Rodentia; Muridae. The record is from RefSeq and is a predicted model, not a curated record.
AGCCUUACCUGGCAGAGGAGAUACCAAGAUCAAGAAGAUGAUGGUUUUCCCAGGGCAGGGCUUAUCUAUUGCAACCCAAAUGUGCUGACUCCUGCAAUUUCCUCAAAUUUGGGAAACAUGACUGAAUAAUUUGUGGAAGUGGGAGACUUCAUUCAUGCUCUCCCU